CUCCCUGAUGUUAGCGGCGGACGGGCUGAGUAACACGUGGGUAACCUGCCUGUAAGACUGGGAUAACUCCGGGAAACCGGGGCUAAUACCGGAUGGUGUUUGAACCGCAUGGUUCAGACAUAAAAGGUGGCUUCGGUACCACUUACAGAUGGACCCGCGGCGCAUUAGCUAGUUGGUGAGGUAACGGCUCACCAAGGCACGAUGCGUAGCCGACCUGAGAGGGUGAUCGGCCACACUGGGACUGAGACACGGCCCAGACUCCUACGGGAGGCAGCAGUAGGGAAUCUUCCGCAAUGGACGAAAGUCUGACGGAGCAACGCCGCGUGAGUGAUGAAGGUUUUCGGAUCGUAAAGCUCUGUUGUUAGGGAAGAACAAGUGCCGUUCAAAUAGGGCGGCACCUUGACGGUACCUAACCAGAAAGCCACGGCUAACUACGUGCCAGCAGCCGCGGUAAUACGUAGGUGGCAAGCGUUGUCCGGAAUUAUUGGGCGUAAAGGGCUCGCAGGCGGUUUCUUAAGUCUGAUGUGAAAGCCCCCGGCUCAACCGGGGAGGGUCAUUGGAAACUGGGGAACUUGAGUGCAGAAGAGGAGAGUGGAAUUCCACGUGUAGCGGUGAAAUGCGUAGAGAUGUGGAGGAACACCAGUGGCGAAGGCGACUCUCUGGUCUGUAACUGACGCUGAGGAGCGAAAGCGUGGGGAGCGAACAGGAUUAGAUACCCCUGGGUAGUCCACGCCGUAAACGAUGAGUGCUAAGUGUUAGGGGGUUUCCGCCCCUUAGUGCUGCAGCUAACGCAUUAAGCACUCCGCCUGGGGAGUACGGUCGCAAGACUGAAACUCAAAGGAAUUGACGGGGGCCCGCACAAGCGGUGGAGCAUGUGGUUUAAUUGAAGCAACGCGAAGAACCUUACCAGGUCUUGACAUCCUCUGACAAUCCUAGAGAUAGGACGUCCCCUUCGGGGGCAGAGUGACAGGUGGUGCAUGGUUGUCGUCAGCUCGUGUCGUGAGAUGUUGGGUUAAGUCCCGCAACGAGCGCAACCCUUGAUUUAGUUGCCAGCAUUCAGUUGGGCACUCUAAGGUGACUGCCGGUGACAAACCGGAGGAAGGUGGGGAUGACGUCAAAUCAUCAUGCCCCUUAUGACCUGGGCUACACACGUGCUACAAUGGCAGAACAAAGGGCAGCGAAACCGCGAGGUUAAGCCAAUCCCACAAAUCUGUUCUCAGUUCGGAUCGCAGUCUGCAACUCGACUGCGUGAAGCUGGAAUCGCUAGUAAUCGCGGAUCAGCAUGCCGCGGUGAAUACGUUCCCGGGCCUUGUACACACCGCCCGUCACACCACGAGAGUUUGUAACACCCGAAGUCGUGAGGUAACCUUUUAGGAGCCAGC
Molecule: ribosomal RNA, 1382 nt
Filed under: Bacillus subtilis
Lineage: Bacteria; Bacillati; Bacillota; Bacilli; Caryophanales; Bacillaceae
Description: bacterial SSU rRNA
Rfam family: Bacterial small subunit ribosomal RNA
Source: RNAcentral